Molecule: unclassified non-coding RNA, 275 nt
Filed under: uncultured fungus
Lineage: Eukaryota; Fungi
Description: partial contains 5.8S ribosomal RNA, internal transcribed spacer 2, and large subunit ribosomal RNA
Source: RNAcentral
AACGCACAUUGCGCCCGCCAGCAUUCUGGCGGGCAUGCCUGUCCGAGCGUCAUUUCAACCCUCAGGCCCCCCUUUCCGGGUGCCUGGCGUUGGGGAUCGGCCCUGCAGCCCAGGGCCGGCCCCGAAAUACAGUGGCGGUCACGCCGCGGCUUCCUCUGCGUAGUAGUAACAUCCUCGCAUAGGGACGCGGCGCGGCCACGCCGUAAAGCGGGCGCGAGCCCAGCACACUUCUCAAGGUUGACCUCGGAUCAGGUAGGAAUACCCGCUGAACUUAA